Molecule: ribosomal RNA, 309 nt
Filed under: uncultured bacterium
Lineage: Bacteria
Description: partial 16S ribosomal RNA
Rfam family: Bacterial small subunit ribosomal RNA
Source: RNAcentral
AGAGACAGCAGUCGCCGCGGUAAUACGUAGGUGGCAAGCGUUGUCCGGAAUUAUUGGGCGUAAAGCGCGCGCAGGCGGCCUAUCCAGUCUGUCUUAAAAGUUCGGGGCUCAACCCCGUGAUGGGAUGGAAACUAGUAGGCUAGAGUAUCGGAGAGGAAAGCGGAAUUCCUAGUGUAGCGGUGAAAUGCGUAGAUAUUAGGAAGAACACCAGUGGCGAAGGCGGCUUUCUGGACGAAAACUGACGCUGAGGCGCGAAAGCCAGGGGAGCGAACGGGAUUAGAUACCCGUGUAGUCCCUGUCUCUUAUACA